This 483-nucleotide ribosomal RNA is filed under the name uncultured bacterium. Its description in RNAcentral is "partial 16S ribosomal RNA". It matches the Rfam family "Bacterial small subunit ribosomal RNA", at positions 30 to 507 of the family's 1533-position model. The record is from RNAcentral.
UUGAACGCUGGCGGCAGGCCUAACACCUGCAAGUCGAGCGGAUGAAGGGAGCUUGCUCCUGGAUUCAGCGGCGGACGGGUGAGUAAUGCCUAGGAAUCUGCCUGGUAGUGGGGGAUAACGUCCGGAAACGGGCGCUAAUACCGCAUACGUCCUGAGGGAGAAAGUGGGGGAUCUUCGGACCUCACGCUAUCAGAUGAGCCUAGGUCGGAUUAGCUAGUUGGUGGGGUAAAGGCCUACCAAGGCGACGAUCCGUAACUGGUCUGAGAGGAUGAUCAGUCACACUGGAACUGAGACACGGUCCAGACUCCUACGGGAGGCAGCGGUGGGGAAUAUUGGACAAUGGGCGAAAGCCUGAUCCAGCCAUGCCGCGUGUGUGAAGAAGGUCUUCGGAUUGUAAAGCACUUUAAGUUGGGAGGAAGGGCAGUAAGUUAAUACCUUGCUGUUUUGACGUUACCAACAGAAUAAGCACCGGCUAACUUCGUG